UGAGUUUGAUCCUGGCUCAGGAUGAACGCUGGCGGCGUGCUUAACACAUGCAAGUCGAACGAUGAAGACCGUGCUUGCACGGUUGGAUUAGUGGCGAACGGGUGAGUAUCACGUGAGUAACCUUCCCUUGACUCUGGGAUAAGCCCGGGAAACUGGGUCUAAUACCGGAUACGACCAGUCCUCGCAUGGGGUGCUGGUGGAAAGAUUUAUCGGUCUUGGAUGGACUCGCGGCCUAUCAGCUUGUUGGUGAGGUAAUAGCUCACCAAGGCGAUGACGGGUAGCCGGCCUGAGAGGGUGACCGGCCACACUGGGACUGAGACACGGCCCAGACUCCUACGGGAGGCAGCAGUGGGGAAUAUUGCACAAUGGGCGAAAGCCUGAUGCAGCGACGCCGCGUGCGGGAUGACGGCCUUCGGGUUGUAAACCGCUUUCAGCAGGGAAGAAGCGCAAGUGACGGUACCUGCAGAAGAAGCGCCGGCUAACUACGUGCCAGCAGCCGCGGUAAUACGUAGGGCGCGAGCGUUAUCCGGAAUUAUUGGGCGUAAAGAGCUCGUAGGCGGUUUGUCACGUCUGCUGUGAAAGCCCGGGGCUCAACCCCGGGUGUGCAGUGGGUACGGGCAGACUAGAGUGCAGUAGGGGAGACUGGAAUUCCUGGUGUAGCGGUGAAAUGCGCAGAUAUCAGGAGGAACACCGAUGGCGAAGGCAGGUCUCUGGGCUGUUACUGACGCUGAGGAGCGAAAGCAUGGGGAGCGAACAGGAUUAGAUACCCUGGUAGUCCAUGCCGUAAACGUUGGGCACUAGGUGUGGGGGACAUUCCACGUUUUCCGCGCCGUAGCUAACGCAUUAAGUGCCCCGCCUGGGGAGUACGGCCGCAAGGCUAAAACUCAAAGGAAUUGACGGGGGCCCGCACAAGCGGCGGAGCAUGCGGAUUAAUUCGAUGCAACGCGAAGAACCUUACCAAGGCUUGACAUGGACCGGACCGCUGCAGAGAUGCAGCUUCCCUUCGGGGUCGGUUCACAGGUGGUGCAUGGUUGUCGUCAGCUCGUGUCGUGAGAUGUUGGGUUAAGUCCCGCAACGAGCGCAACCCCUAUCCUAUGUUGCCAGCACGUAAUGGUGGGGACUCAUGGGAGACUGCCGGGGUCAACUCGGAGGAAGGUGGGGACGACGUCAAAUCAUCAUGCCCCUUAUGUCUUGGGCUUCACGCAUGCUACAAUGGCCGGUACAAUGGGUUGCGAUACUGUGAGGUGGAGCUAAUCCCUAAAAGCCGGUCUCAGUUCGGAUCGAAGUCUGCAACUCGACUUCGUGAAGUUGGAGUCGCUAGUAAUCGCAGAUCAGCAACGCUGCGGUGAAUACGUUCCCGGGCCUUGUACACACCGCCCGUCAAGUCACGAAAGUGGGUAACACCCGAAGCCGGUGGCCUAACCCUUGUGGGGGGAGCCGUCGAAGGUGGGACUCGCGAUUGGGACUAAGUCGUAACAAGGUAACCAAUCGG
Molecule: ribosomal RNA, 1492 nt
Filed under: Nesterenkonia sp. AN1
Lineage: Bacteria; Bacillati; Actinomycetota; Actinomycetes; Micrococcales; Micrococcaceae
Description: bacterial SSU rRNA
Rfam family: Bacterial small subunit ribosomal RNA
Source: RNAcentral